GGGGGCGUAGUUCAGGGGGAGAAUGCUUCCUUGGCGUGGAAGAGGUCGUGGGUUCAAUUCCCACCGCCUCCA
RNAcentral lists this transfer RNA (72 nucleotides) under bacterium. Its description in RNAcentral is "tRNA-Ala". It matches the Rfam family "tRNA". From Rfam's summary of the family: Transfer RNA (tRNA) molecules are approximately 80 nucleotides in length. Their secondary structure includes four short double-helical elements and three loops (D, anti-codon, and T loops). Further hydrogen bonds mediate the characteristic L-shaped molecular structure. tRNAs have two regions of fundamental functional importance: the anti-codon, which is responsible for specific mRNA codon recognition, and the 3' end, to which the tRNAs corresponding amino acid is attached (by aminoacyl-tRNA synthetases). tRNAs cope with the degeneracy of the genetic code in two manners: having more than one tRNA (with a specific anti-codon) for a particular amino acid; and 'wobble' base-pairing, i.e. permitting non-standard base-pairing at the 3rd anti-codon position. The record is from RNAcentral.